This 253-nucleotide ribosomal RNA is filed under the name uncultured bacterium. Its description in RNAcentral is "partial 16S ribosomal RNA". It matches the Rfam family "Bacterial small subunit ribosomal RNA", at positions 524 to 776 of the family's 1533-position model. The record is from RNAcentral.
UACGUAGGGAGCAAGCGUUGCCCGGAAUCAUUGGGCGUAAAGCGCGCGUAGGCGGCCCUGUAAGUCCGUUGUGAAAGUCAAAGGCUCAACCUUUGAAAGCCGAUGGAUACUGCAGGGCUAGAGUCCGGAAGAGGCGAGUGGAAUUCCUGGUGUAGCGGUGGAAUGCGCAGAUAUCAGGAAGAACACCGAUGGCGAAGGCAGCUCUCUGGGACGGUACUGACGCUGAGACGCGAAAGCGUGGGGAGCAAACAGG